UGGGGAAUAUUGCACAAUGGGCGCAAGCCUGAUGCAGCCAUGCCGCGUGUAUGAAGAAGGCCUUCGGGUUGUAAAGUACUUUCAGCGGGGAGGAAGGGAGUAAAGUUAAUACCUUUGCUCAUUGACGUUACCCGCAGAAGAAGCACCGGCUAACUCCGUGCCAGCAGCCGCGGUAAUACGGAGGGUGCAAGCGUUAAUCGGAAUUACUGGGCGUAAAGCGCACGCAGGCGGUUUGUUAAGUCAGAUGGGAAAUCCCCGGGCUCAACCUGGGAACUGCAUCUGAUACUGGCAAGCUUGAGUCUCGUAGAGGGGGGUAGAAUUCCAGGUGUAGCGGUGAAAUGCGUAGAGAUCUGGAGGAAUACCGGUGGCGAAGGCGGCCCCCUGGACGAAGACUGACGCUCAGGUGCGAAAGCGUGGGGAGCAAACAGG
RNAcentral lists this ribosomal RNA (429 nucleotides) under Chloroflexota bacterium. RNAcentral describes it as "Chloroflexi bacterium partial 16S ribosomal RNA". It matches the Rfam family "Bacterial small subunit ribosomal RNA", at positions 355 to 776 of the family's 1533-position model. The record is from RNAcentral. Lineage: Bacteria; Bacillati; Chloroflexota.